This is a non-coding RNA of Termitomyces sp. 'cryptogamus', 100 nucleotides long. Lineage: Eukaryota; Fungi; Basidiomycota; Agaricomycetes; Agaricales; Lyophyllaceae. The record is from the annotation of a GenBank genome assembly.
UCGGAUAUGGUGUAACGGCUAACAUUGCCGCCUCUCAUCAAUCAUCUCUUGAUUUGUGUUGGUCACGCGGCAGCUCGGGGUUCGAUUCCCCGUAUCCGAA